AGCGAACGCUGGCGGCAGGCUUAACACAUGCAAGUCGAACGGUCCUUCGGGAUAGUGGCGGACGGGUGAGUAACACGUGGGAACGUACCCUUAGGUUCGGAACAACACAGGGAAACUUGUGCUAAUACCGGAUAAGCCCUUCGGGGGAAAGAUUUAUCGCCUUUGGAGCGGCCCGCGUCUGAUUAGCUUGUUGGUGAGGUAAUGGCUCACCAAGGCUACGAUCAGUAGCUGGUCUGAGAGAAUGGCCAGCCACACUGGGACUGAGACACGGCCCAGACUCCUACGGGAGGAAGCAGUGGGGAAUCUGGCGAAAGGGGCGAAACCCUGACGCAGCCAGCCCGCGGGGAUGUUGAAGGUCUAAGAUUUGAAAAAUCCUUUCACGGGGGACGAUAAUGACGGUACCCGGAGAAGAAGCCCCGGCUACCUCCGUGCCAGCCGCCGCCGUAA
RNAcentral lists this ribosomal RNA (447 nucleotides) under uncultured bacterium. Its description in RNAcentral is "partial 16S ribosomal RNA". It matches the Rfam family "Bacterial small subunit ribosomal RNA", at positions 29 to 523 of the family's 1533-position model. The record is from RNAcentral.